CUUGGUCAUUUAGAGGAAGUAAAAGUCGUAACAAGGUCUCCGUUGGUGAACCAGCGGAGGGAUCAUUACCGAGUUUACAACUCCCAACCCCUGUGAACAUACCUCAGUUGCUUCGGCGGACAGGUCUGGCUCCCGCUGGACUGCGCCCGCCGGGGACAUAAACCAUUGUUUUUACUUUAGUAUUCUCUGAGUGGUUUAAACAAAUAAAUCAAAACUUUCAACAACGGAUCUCUUGGUUCUGGCAUCGAUGAAGAACGCAGCGAAAUGCGAUAAGUAAUGUGAAUCGCAGAAUUCAGUGAGUCAUCGAAUCUUUGAACGCACAUUGCGCCCGCCAGCAUUCUGGCGGGCAUGCCUGUUCGAGCGUCAUUUCAACCCUCGCGCCCAUCCGGGCUGCGGUGUUGGGGCGGGCAGUUGGACGCAAGUCCGGCUGCCGCCCCCAAAUACAGUGGCGGCCUCGCUGCACUUGCUCUGCGUAGUAGCACACCUCGCAUUGCAAAGUAGCGCGCCCACGCCAUAAAACCCCCGACCCCCAUGAGUUUGACCUCGGAUCAGGUAGGAAUACCCGCUGAACUUAAGCAUAUCAAUAAGCGGAGGA
Molecule: ribosomal RNA, 595 nt
Filed under: uncultured Hypocreales
Lineage: Eukaryota; Fungi; Ascomycota; Sordariomycetes; Hypocreales
Description: eukaryotic LSU rRNA
Rfam family: 5.8S ribosomal RNA (bases 213-366)
Source: RNAcentral